UGGGGAAUAUUGCACAAUGGGGGAAAACCCUGAUGCAGCGACGCCGCGUGAGCGAAGAAGUAUUUCGGUAUGUAAAGCUCUAUCAGCAGGGAAGAAAAUGACGGUACCUGACUAAGAAGCCCCGGCUAACUACGUGCC
Molecule: ribosomal RNA, 138 nt
Filed under: uncultured bacterium
Lineage: Bacteria
Description: partial 16S ribosomal RNA
Rfam family: Bacterial small subunit ribosomal RNA
Source: RNAcentral